Stegastes partitus (bicolor damselfish) is the source of this 102-nucleotide long non-coding RNA. RefSeq lists it as uncharacterized. The record is from RefSeq and is a predicted model, not a curated record. Lineage: Eukaryota; Metazoa; Chordata; Actinopteri; Pomacentridae. The transcript is spliced from 5 exons.
GGACCAAGGGCCAGAGGGGGAAAAGGAAGAGUGUCGAGGGGGCUUUGGACAGGCUGCCACCACAGAUACAACAGCUGAACAAACUCGGCACUCCCGAGCAGA